UCGUUUCUUGGUUGAAGCUUUUUAAUUUUUGGUUCACGAUUGAAGUUUUUUUGAUCGGUUUUAAUGGAGUUUUCUGAUGAAGGUUUUUAGUUUUUAUUUUAGGAUUGUAUGAUUUGGCAAAUUAAUUGGAUGAUAUUUAAAGGUAUUUAUUCAAUUGUUAGUCAAGCAAUAAUUUGAAAACAAGGUGGUGCGUUUGUGUGGAGGUUAGUUGAGGAUUCCUUCUCUAAUUGCAGGAGAUAGCCAUUAUCAGCUGGUAGUAAGCUUUUAUUCCCAUAUGAUGAAGAGUUGUAGAACAUGGUGGUAGGAGUUGGAGGAGUACUACUGUGGCUAUUGCAAAAAGGAAAGGCCAUGCUUGGAACGUAGUUAGUAGCGGCUGUUAUGAUAAUCUGUUGUGGCUGAGUACUAUUAACUGUAAUAUUAUUACUCUCUGGGAGAGAGGUAAGGUUUAUAUCUUUCCAGA
Cannabis sativa is the source of this 460-nucleotide long non-coding RNA. RefSeq lists it as uncharacterized. The record is from RefSeq and is a predicted model, not a curated record. The transcript is spliced from 2 exons. Lineage: Eukaryota; Viridiplantae; Streptophyta; Magnoliopsida; Rosales; Cannabaceae.